Molecule: small RNA, 1601 nt
Filed under: Pongo abelii (Sumatran orangutan)
Lineage: Eukaryota; Metazoa; Chordata; Mammalia; Primates; Hominidae
Description: retained intron
Source: RNAcentral
GCGGCUCGCUAAGACUAUGGCGUCCGGGCCUCAUUCGACAGCUACUGCUGCCGCCGCCGCCUCAUCGGCCGCCCCAAGCGCGGGCGGCUCCAGCUCCGGGACGACGACCACGACGACGACCACGACGGGAGGGAUCCUGAUCGGCGAUCGCCUGUACUCGGAAGUUUCACUCACCAUCGACCACUCUCUGAUUCCGGAGGAGAGGCUCUCGCCCACCCCAUCCAUGCAGGACGGGCUCGACCUGCCCAGCGAGACGGACUUACGCAUCCUGGGCUGCGAGCUCAUCCAGGCCGCCGGCAUUCUCCUCCGGCUGCCGCAGGUGGCGAUGGCAACGGGGCAGGUGUUGUUUCAUCGUUUUUUCUACUCCAAAUCUUUCGUCAAACACAGUUUCGAGAUUGUUGCUAUGGCUUGUAUUAAUCUUGCAUCAAAAAUCGAAGAAGCACCUAGAAGAAUAAGAGAUGUGAUUAAUGUAUUCCACCACCUCCGCCAGUUAAGAGGAAAAAGCGACCAGCUACAUUUACCAAAGCCUGGGUGAUGUGGAGUGGUACAUAGAGAUGAAGCUGUCGUCAUGGCAACAGACUCCAAGCCCCCUGAUCCUUGAUCAGAACUACAUUAACACCAAAAAUCAAGUUAUCAAAGCAGAGAGGAGGGUGCUAAAGGAGUUGGGAUUUUGUGUUCAUGUCAAGCAUCCUCAUAAGAUCAUUGUUAUGUAUUUACAAGUCUUAGAAUGUGAACGUAAUCAAACCCUGGUUCAAACUGCCUGGAAUUACAUGAAUGACAGUCUUCGAACCAAUGUGUUUGUUCGAUUUCAACCAGAGACUAUAGCAUGUGCUUGCAUCUACCUUGCAGCUAGAGCACUUCAGAUUCCAUUGCCAACUCGUCCCCAUUGGUUUCUUCUUUUUGGUACUACAGAAGAGGAAAUCCAGGAAAUCUGCAUAGAAACACUUAGGCUUUAUACCAGAAAAAAGCCAAACUAUGAAUUACUGGAAAAAGAAGUAGAAAAAAGAAAAGUAGCCUUACAAGAAGCCAAAUUAAAAGCAAAGGGAUUGAAUCCGGAUGGAACUCCAGCCCUUUCAACCCUGGGUGGAUUUUCUCCAGCCUCCAAGCCAUCAUCACCAAGAGAAGUAAAAGCUGAAGAGAAAUCACCAAUCUCCAUUAAUGUGAAGACAGUCAAAAAAGAACCUGAGGAUAGACAACAGGCUUCCAAAAGCCCUUACAAUGGUGUAAGAAAAGACAGCAAGAGAAGUAGAAAUAGCAGAAGUGCAAGUCGAUCAAGGUCAAGAACACGAUCACGUUCUAGAUCACAUACUCCAAGAAGACAGUAAGUAAAUGUUUUCUUAGGGAAGCAGUCUUAUUUGGAGUUUUUAAAGGUUAUUGCUUUUUCUUUAAAAAUUGAACAUAGAUUAUUUUCAAAGUUAGGUUAGAAUUAGGCUUUUAAUAUGAGGCAAAUUAUGAGAAAUGAGUUUGGAGAUGUUCCGGACAUACAGUAUCUUAAUGGCAUUCUGUUAUAUUUUCUCCCAUGUUGUUUGGAAAAGCGUAGGAGCUACCCACAAAGUGCUUGAGGGCCAUAGUAUUGUUCGUAUGUGAAAACUUCUUUUUUU